GACGAACGCUGGCGGCGCGCCUAACACAUGCAAGUCGAACGAGCGAGAGAGAGUUUACUUUCUCAAGCGAGUGGCGAGCGGGUGAGUAACGCGUGAGGAACCUGCCUCAAAGAGGGGGACAACAGUUGGAAACGACUGCUAAUACCGCAUAAGCCCACGGUGCCGCAUGGCACAGAGGGAAAAGGAGCAAUCCGCUUUGAGAUGGCCUCGCGUCCGAUUAGCUAGUUGGUGAGGUAACGGCCCACCAAGGCGACGAUCGGUAGCCGGACUGAGAGGUUGAACGGCCACAUUGGGACUGAGACACGGCCCAGACUCCUACGGGAGGCAGCAGUGGGGAAUAUUGCACAAUGGGGGAAACCCUGAUGCAGCGACGCCGCGUGGAGGAAGAAGGUCUUCGGAUUGUAAACUCCUGUUGUCGAGGAAGAUAAUGACGGUACUCAACAAGGAAGUG
RNAcentral lists this ribosomal RNA (451 nucleotides) under uncultured bacterium. RNAcentral's name for it is "bacterial SSU rRNA". It matches the Rfam family "Bacterial small subunit ribosomal RNA", at positions 28 to 492 of the family's 1533-position model. The record is from RNAcentral.